Molecule: transfer RNA, 86 nt
Filed under: Candidatus Omnitrophota bacterium
Lineage: Bacteria; Pseudomonadati; Candidatus Omnitrophota
Description: tRNA-Leu
Rfam family: tRNA
About the family: Transfer RNA (tRNA) molecules are approximately 80 nucleotides in length. Their secondary structure includes four short double-helical elements and three loops (D, anti-codon, and T loops). Further hydrogen bonds mediate the characteristic L-shaped molecular structure. tRNAs have two regions of fundamental functional importance: the anti-codon, which is responsible for specific mRNA codon recognition, and the 3' end, to which the tRNAs corresponding amino acid is attached (by aminoacyl-tRNA synthetases). tRNAs cope with the degeneracy of the genetic code in two manners: having more than one tRNA (with a specific anti-codon) for a particular amino acid; and 'wobble' base-pairing, i.e. permitting non-standard base-pairing at the 3rd anti-codon position.
Source: RNAcentral
GCCAGGGUGAUGAAAUGGCAAACAUGAUGGUCUCAAAAACCAUUGUCCGUAAGGGCUUGAGGGUUCGACUCCCUCCUCUGGCACCA